AUUUCAGUAAUGAAACGUCUCAGGUGCGGCAUACAAUACAAACACGAAAGAAGGCUACUUGUAUUUUUAAAGUUUCGAUGUCAUAUGCAAACAGACAUAGUGUAUAAAGGUCAGCGUGCGGGGCUGAGCAUGACUAGUGCGUUAUGAAAAAACAUGUUCCACGGAAGAAGCCCACGGACGAGAACUCCCUACCACGUCUGCUGCAUGGCGUUUGUGAAAGCAGGGUCAGAGUUCUGGACUAUUGUAGCCACCGCGGCCCUGUUGCUUUUGAUUGUCUUGGCUGAAAGUGACGCCUACAGCCCUAUCCGCCACGCAGUGCAUCAAGGUGCACGUGCUCAAAGAGGACCAUACUUUAGUGGGAGAGGAAGCUAUUCGCUUCAGGUAAAAAAGUCACGUGGUGGUGUCUGUCACAGCACCAACGAAUGCAAAGAAGAAUACUGCUGUGUGGAACGACAGCAUGUGCAAACCUGCCAACCCUACUCAAUAUUCGGUGAAAGAUGCACAAUACCACAAAUUAGAGGCGGAGGCUACCACGAUGCAUGUCCCUGUGCAGCUGGAAACCAGGCGUGUCGAAACGACACAUGCUUGUAAUGACACUGCAAGUAAUCAUAAUGGAGUGUGUGCACGCAAAUGCAGCACCGCUAUGGGUAGGCACUCUCGAGUUAAGACUCUCGAGGAGCAGCGUGAAUGCGAGGAGCGGCGAAGGGGAAGAGAAAUGGCAAUACGACCAGCGGUUGCGUGCUGCCAAAAUUGCCAUUACUACCGUUACUGUGAUUACUCUAAAUUACCAUUAUUACCAUUACUCUAAAACAACACAACAUUGCAUGCCCCGUCUGCAGUUGUAAUGGUGGUUUUCAACAGCUUUGCUGGACAUCUACUAUCGUCGGGGUGGUACGGCGAGUCCAUUGUUUUCUUUAUUACAUGGAAAACCUCCCCCUCCUCCCAAAGAAAGAAACACUUCAAAGACAAUUAUUAAAAGAAACAGUCCUUAAAAGGCAGGCGAACUUAUACAAUUCACUACUAGUGGAUGGUGGGAACUUCUUGCGAAGGUUCCAUAGCAUUGCACGCCAAUUAUGAAACGAUCUGGGAAGUUACCGCAAAAAACACACGAGACGAAGACAGAUACAACAUGAAGUGGUACUGAUAACUGUUGACUCCAUGAAACGAACCCCGAGCUCCGAGAAAACCAGUAAAAGCACAGAGUGACCUUCAACAGGGAUGUGGUACAAAUGCUAAGACAAACGCUGAUGACUAAUGAGGCAUCGAACACAUGUUUAUCACGUGGAAAGAAACAAAAGUUCUUUCUGAGUAACAGCAACCGAUGGUGCACUAACGCAAUCACCUGUCCAAUCAGUAGCAUUUCCCACACAUUUUCAAAUCUGAAAGACCAUUUCUAUUGCUAACUGUAUUAUAGUUACAAGUCUAAUUUGUUUCUUGAGUGUUGUAACAGUUUAAUUGACGGUAUAUUUUCUUAACAGAGAAGCUGUUUAAGUCAGCCGUAAUUUGUGGUUCGUAUCAAGAGACUAUCAUCAUGAGCAAUAAAGAAAGAAAUAAACUUUCUUGGCAACGUGUAAUUCGAACACGCGUACCCACGGUCUCAAGGCGAGCGUCGUAACCACUAGGCUAUACAGCCACGCUUGCAGAACAUGCAUUUAUGCGAACUAUAUGAUUGCGUUCGAGCGUCGUCGUCUUCGUCCACCGCUGGCGCGUUCGCAAGUGCUCCUGCCAAUGCUCUGCGAGGUAAAGAAGAGAAGAAGUGAAGAGGAAGAAGGCUGUACCUAGCUAUUACCAAGUUCAACCUAUAGCUACACGAGUAUAGGCCUAGCUACAACCAAGUGUAAACCUCGACAUAACGUAGUUAGACCUAGCUACAACCAAGAGACGCAAUCAAUCGGCCCGCUUCGUUGUGUCUUGAGCUCUGCACGGCUUAGUGCAAGCUUUCGCCUUUUUCCAUGGCUAAACAAACAAGUUAAAAAACUAAUUUCAGUCUUUCAGUAUCCCUGCGUCUUUAUAUCAAAAAGCAUGCAGAAACUCUGCUGGAGUUGUGUAAGUAUGCGCAAGCGUAGCCCCAAAUUUUAUUUGGUCCACCCCAAAAUAUCAAGUUGGCCCACCCCUAAAUUUCAAGCUUGCCCACCUCCAAAUUUCAAGUUGGCCCACUCCUAAAUAUCAGUAGGCCUGCCCCUGAAUUCAAGUUAGGCCAUGCUUAAAUUUCAAGCUGGCCCACUCCCAAAUUUUAGUUGGCUCACCCCCAUAUUCAAGUUGACACCCUUAAAUUUCAAGCUGGCCCACGCCCAAAUUUAGGUUGGCCGAGCCUCAAAUUUCAAGUUGGCGCACCCCAAAAUUUAAAUAGGCCCACUCCCAAAUUCAAGUUGCCCCACCCCAAAUUUCAGUUCGCCCACCUCGAAAUUUCAAGUGUGGCCAACCCAAAAUCUAAGUUGGCCCAAGCCAAAAUUUUAAGUUGCCCCCCCC
Dermacentor silvarum is the source of this 2469-nucleotide RNA transcript. RefSeq lists it as uncharacterized. The record is from RefSeq and is a predicted model, not a curated record. The transcript has 4 exons. NCBI's taxonomy places the organism in Eukaryota, Metazoa, Arthropoda, Arachnida, Ixodida, Ixodidae.